GCCCGGAUGGCGGAAUUGGCAGACGCGUCGGUCUCAAACACCGAUGGGGCGACCCAUACCGGUUCGAGCCCGGUUCCGGGCA
RNAcentral lists this transfer RNA (82 nucleotides) under Muribaculaceae bacterium. RNAcentral describes it as "tRNA-Leu". It matches the Rfam family "tRNA". Rfam says of the family: Transfer RNA (tRNA) molecules are approximately 80 nucleotides in length. Their secondary structure includes four short double-helical elements and three loops (D, anti-codon, and T loops). Lineage: Bacteria; Pseudomonadati; Bacteroidota; Bacteroidia; Bacteroidales; Muribaculaceae. The record is from RNAcentral.